AGAAAGAACGCAGCCCUGCUGACAGCUGUAAGCCCGUGAGACUCAUCUCAGAUUGCCGAACUACAGAACUUUUAUGCUUACAGGUACCUCGUGACCCCGAGCCUUUCGUGUCGACUGAAGCCCAGCACAGCGGACUGAAGAAAACCAAGCUGUACUCAAAUGGUUUUUUUGGAUUUGGCCUGUUGACUUCCUACCCCAAGGAGCCUUAAAGUUUACCAGAUGGAUAAACAGCAGUGUGGUUUAGCCCUCUCAAGUCCUGCUUUUAGCACUCCAGUCCUGUGAAAAUACCCAAGUCCCACGGGUUGCUCGGUUCUUAGCAGUGGGACCAGAAUCCGCACACACCCCCAGGAAGAGGCUGCUGCAGAUAUAACCUCUUCAUGAGCCUCUCUGCUCUCAAACCUCAGCUCCUCACUCUCCAGUGCCAUUAGACAGAUUUAUAUUUUAUGCAUCCCUCUUUCUGUAGUUCUUGGCACAUUGUGGGCCUGCCUGAAAAUACAACCAGGAGCAGAAAUACGCAUGUCCUUAUCGCCA
Long non-coding RNA from Mesoplodon densirostris (Blainville's beaked whale), 531 nucleotides. RefSeq lists it as uncharacterized. The transcript is spliced from 2 exons. The record is from RefSeq and is a predicted model, not a curated record. Lineage: Eukaryota; Metazoa; Chordata; Mammalia; Artiodactyla; Ziphiidae.